Molecule: ribosomal RNA, 1283 nt
Filed under: Pasteurella multocida
Lineage: Bacteria; Pseudomonadati; Pseudomonadota; Gammaproteobacteria; Pasteurellales; Pasteurellaceae
Description: partial 23S ribosomal RNA
Rfam family: Bacterial large subunit ribosomal RNA
Source: RNAcentral
GGUUAAGUGACUAAGCGUACAGGGCGGAUGCCUUGGCAAUCAGAGGCGAUGAAGGACGUGCUAAUCUGCGAAAAGCUUGGAUGAGUCGAUAAGAGGCGUUUAAUCCAAGAUAUCCGAAUGGGGAAACCCAGUAGAUGAAGAAUCUACUAUCAAUAAAUGAAUACAUAGUUUAUUGAGGCGAACCGGGAGAACUGAAACAUCUAAGUACCCCGAGGAAAAGAAAUCAACCGAGAUUCUGUGAGUAGCGGCGAGCGAAAGCGGAAGAGCCAGUAAGUUUUAGCUAGCAUAUUAGAGGAAUUGGCUGGGAAGCCAAAUCAAAGAGGGUGAUAAUCCCGUACUCGAAAGUAUGUUAGUGGAACUAAGCUUACGAUAAGUAAGGCGGGACACGAGAAAUCCUGUUUGAAGAUGGGGGGACCAUCCUCCAAGGCUAAAUACUCCUGAUUGACCGAUAGUGAACCAGUACUGUGAAGGAAAGGCGAAAAGAACCCCGGUGAGGGGAGUGAAAUAGAACCUGAAACCCUGUACGUACAAGCAGUAGGAGCGAGGGCAACCUUGUGACUGCGUACCUUUUGUAUAAUGGGUCAGCGACUUAUAUUUUGUAGCGAGGUUAACUGAAUAAGGGAGCCGAAGGGAAACCGAGUCUUAACUGGGCGUUGAGUUGCAAGGUAUAGACCCGAAACCCGGUGAUCUAGCCAUGGGCAGGUUGAAGGUUGGGUAACACUAACUGGAGGACCGAACCGACUAAUGUUGAAAAAUUAGCGGAUGACUUGUGGCUGGGGGUGAAAGGCCAAUCAAACCGGGAGAUAGCUGGUUCUCCCCGAAAUCUAUUUAGGUAGAGCCUUGAGCGGACACCUUCGGGGGUAGAGCACUGUUUCGGCUAGGGGUCCAUCCCGGAUUACCAACCCGAUGCAAACUGCGAAUACCGAAGAGUGAUACUCAGGAGACACACGGCGGGUGCUAACGUUCGUCGUGGAGAGGGAAACAACCCAGACCGCCAGCUAAGGUCCCAAAGUCUAUAUUAAGUGGGAAACGAAGUGGGAAGGCUUAGACAGCUAGGAUGUUGGCUUAGAAGCAGCCAUCAUUUAAAGAAAGCGUAAUAGCUCACUAGUCGAGUCGGCCUGCGCGGAAGAUGUAACGGGGCUCAAAUAUAGCACCGAAGCUGCGGCAUCAGAAUUUAUUCUGUUGGGUAGGGGAGCGUUGUGUAAGCGGAUGAAGGUGGCUCGAGAGGGUUGCUGGACGUAUCACAAGUGCGAAUGCUGACAUAAGUAACGAUAAAACGAGUG